RNAcentral lists this ribosomal RNA (429 nucleotides) under Chloroflexota bacterium. RNAcentral describes it as "Chloroflexi bacterium partial 16S ribosomal RNA". It matches the Rfam family "Bacterial small subunit ribosomal RNA", at positions 355 to 776 of the family's 1533-position model. Lineage: Bacteria; Bacillati; Chloroflexota. The record is from RNAcentral.
UGGGGAAUAUUGCACAAUGGGCGCAAGCCUGAUGCAGCCAUGCCGCGUGUAUGAAGAAGGCCUUCGGGUUGUAAAGUACUUUCAGUCGGGAGGAAGGUGUCAAGGUUAAUAACCUUGGCAAUUGACGUUACCGACAGAAGAAGCACCGGCUAACUCCGUGCCAGCAGCCGCGGUAAUACGGAGGGUGCAAGCGUUAAUCGGAAUUACUGGGCGUAAAGCGCACGCAGGCGGUUGAUUGAGUCAGAUGUGAAAUCCCCGGGCUUAACCCGGGAAUUGCAUCUGAUACUGGUCGGCUAGAGUCUUGUAGAGGGGGGUAGGAUUCCAUGUGUAGCGGUGAAAUGCGUAGAGAAGUGGAGGAAUACCGGUGGCGAAGGCGGCCCCCUGGACAAAGACUGACGCUCAGGUGCGAAAGCGUGGGGAGCAAACAGG